CCGGAGUGGACGGACCAAUGGUGUACCAAUUAUCCCGCCAGGGGUACAGUUGGGUAGCUACGUCCGGAAAGGAUAAACGCUGAAAGCAUCUAAGCGUGAAACCAGCCUUAAGAUGAGGUCUCCCGAAGCGAAAGCUUGAAAGACACCUUGAAGAUGACGAGGUAGAUAGGCCAGGAGUAGAAGUUCAGUAAUGAAUGUAGCGGACUGGUACUAAUAAGUCGAGAACUUAACUUA
RNAcentral lists this ribosomal RNA (234 nucleotides) under Megamonas hypermegale. Its description in RNAcentral is "partial 23S ribosomal RNA". It matches the Rfam family "Bacterial large subunit ribosomal RNA", at positions 2692 to 2925 of the family's 2925-position model. Lineage: Bacteria; Bacillati; Bacillota; Negativicutes; Selenomonadales; Selenomonadaceae. The record is from RNAcentral.